GUAUCAUGGCUCAGGAUGAACGCUGGCGGCGUGCUAACACAUGCAAGUCGAACGAAGCACCUUACCUGAUUCUUCGGAUGAAAGUUUGGUGACUGAGUGGCGGACGGGUGAGUAACGCGUGGGUAACCUGCCCUGUACAGGGGGAUAACAGCUGGAAACGGCUGCUAAUACCGCAUAAGCGCACGAGGAGACAUCUCCUUGUGUGAAAAACUCCGGUGGUACAGGAUGGGCCCGCGU
Molecule: ribosomal RNA, 237 nt
Filed under: uncultured bacterium
Lineage: Bacteria
Description: partial 16S ribosomal RNA
Rfam family: Bacterial small subunit ribosomal RNA
Source: RNAcentral